CUUACCAAGGAUCGCCCCCCGUCAGCGAGUUUCGCCCACGGGGGCUGUUCUA
RNAcentral lists this small RNA (52 nucleotides) under Rhodobacteraceae bacterium HIMB11. Its description in RNAcentral is "ffh sRNA". It matches the Rfam family "ffh sRNA". Lineage: Bacteria; Pseudomonadati; Pseudomonadota; Alphaproteobacteria; Rhodobacterales; Paracoccaceae. The record is from Rfam by way of RNAcentral.